GGCCAAGGGUCCCCUGCAAAACCCGCCUUCAAGCCUAAAACAGCCUGAAGGCCGAAAAAUCGGAUUACCGACCUGGAGAAUCUCCCAUUGGCCUACGCGCUGGGAGGAAGCGGUGGGGCCUCGGGAAGCUCCGGCUGUUUGCAUGGGGAGGAGUCGGCCCCUCCCGUUCCUGUGCGGUAAACGGCAAGUCAGUCUGUGACAUGGGGGCCUGUUGACAGGAGCCACUCUCACUCAGGAGCCCCUCUCACUUUGUUGAGAAUCUUUUUCCUUUUCACCCAAUACAUUCCGUAACUUCUCACCCUUCAAAGUGUCUGCGUGCCUAAUCUUUCCUGGUCGUGUCGCAAGAACCGAGUUUUUCCUACAACAACAAGAGGGAAGUAACCUGGGUCCCUGAAUUUCAUCCGAAGAGCAGCUGCCCUCUGAUCUGAAAUACUCAUUUUGUCUUUAUGUGAGGAAGAUAUAAACUUUCACUGGGAAGGAUUCCUGAAGUAGGCAGUUCCAGAGCUGAUCAGCAACUCACAAAUGUGAUCGGGAGUCCAGACACUUUCCAUCCUUCAACACCAGCAUCAUUAGCAGGCUGGCUUCUCAUCCUCAUACUCAUCAUCUCACUGUCAUGAGCAGGCUGCCACAGCUCUAAGCAUCAGGGCUUCACGCUAAUUACAUUCAAAGAUGAGAAAAACAGGGCAAAGGAAAAAUACCUCUUCUGUUCAUCAGGAAAGAAGAAUUUCCCAGAUUUUCUCCUGUUCCCAUGGUGGGAACUGAAUCACAUGGCCAUCUCUAACUGUAAGGCAGGCCAAAAUGUUCUGUUAAAGACAACUUCUUCUUGCUCCUCAGAAACACUGGCUGCUCAUCUGGCCCCAAAAUCUGCACAUGGUUCAUUCCUUCAUUUCAUCCUUCAGCAGCCACCCCUGUGAUCAGUCAGCAGCCAUAAACAUUGAGUCAAGACCCUCCACCAGC
Gorilla gorilla gorilla (western lowland gorilla) is the source of this 957-nucleotide long non-coding RNA. RefSeq lists it as uncharacterized. Lineage: Eukaryota; Metazoa; Chordata; Mammalia; Primates; Hominidae. The transcript has 4 exons. The record is from RefSeq and is a predicted model, not a curated record.